RNAcentral lists this ribosomal RNA (305 nucleotides) under uncultured bacterium. RNAcentral's name for it is "partial 16S ribosomal RNA". It matches the Rfam family "Bacterial small subunit ribosomal RNA", at positions 508 to 808 of the family's 1533-position model. The record is from RNAcentral.
ACAGCAGCGCCGCGGGAAUACGUAGGGUGCAAGCGUUAAUCGGAAUUACUGGGCGUAAAGCGUGCGCAGGCGGUUAUAUAAGACAGAUGUGAAAUCCCCGGGCUCAACCUGGGAACUGCAUUUGAAACUGGCAGGCUAGAGUCUCGUAGAGGGGGGUAGAAUUCCAGGUGUAGCGGUGAAAUGCGUAGAGAUCUGGAGGAAUACCGGUGGCGAAGGCGGCCCCCUGGACGAAGACUGACGCUCAGGUACGAAAGCGUGGGGAGCAAACAGGAUUAGAUACCCGUGUAGUCCCUGUCUCUUAUACA